RNAcentral lists this ribosomal RNA (497 nucleotides) under uncultured bacterium. RNAcentral describes it as "partial 16S ribosomal RNA". It matches the Rfam family "Bacterial small subunit ribosomal RNA", at positions 28 to 507 of the family's 1533-position model. The record is from RNAcentral.
GAUGAACGCUGGCGGCGUGCCUAAUACAUGCAAGUCGAGCGAACAGAUGAGGAGCUUGCUCCUCUGACGUUAGCGGCGGACGGGUGAGUAACACGUGGAUAACCUACCUAUAAGACUGGGAUAACUUCGGGAAACCGGAGCUAAUACCGGAUAAUAUAUUGAACCGCAUGGUUCAAUAGUGAAAGACGGUUUUGCUGUCACUUAUAGAUGGAUCCGCGCCGCAUUAGCUAGUUGGUAAGGUAACGGCUUACCAAGGCAACGAUGCGUAGCCGAUCUGAGAGGGUGAUCGGCCACACUGGAACUGAGACACGGUCCAGACUCCUACGGGAGGCAGCAGUAGGGAAUCUUCCGCAAUGGGCGAAAGCCUGACGGAGCAACGCCGCGUGAUUGAUGAAGGUCUUCGGAUCGUAAAACUCUGUUAUUAGGGAAGAACAAAUGUGUAAGUAACUAUGCACGUCUUGACGGUACCUAAUCAGAAAGCCACGGCUAACUACGUG